This 290-nucleotide ribosomal RNA is filed under the name uncultured bacterium. RNAcentral's name for it is "partial 16S ribosomal RNA". It matches the Rfam family "Bacterial small subunit ribosomal RNA", at positions 773 to 1060 of the family's 1533-position model. The record is from RNAcentral.
GUGGAUUAGAUACCCGGGUAGUCCACGCCCUAAACGAUGCUGACUAGUUGUUCGGGAUUUACAUCCUGAGUAACGUAGCUAACGCGUGAAGUCAGCCGCCUGGGGAGUACGGUCGCAAGAUUAAAACUCAAAGGAAUUGACGGGGACCCGCACAAGCGGUGGAUGAUGUGGAUUAAUUCGAUGCAACGCGAAAAACCUUACCUACCCUUGACAUGUCACUAACGAAGUAGAGAUACAUUAGGUGCCCGUAAGGGAAAGUGAACACAGGUGCUGCACGGCCGUCGCCUACU